GGCGAAACUGGUAGACGCGGGCCGCGCGAGCGGUCUGUCUGGUCAGGCUGACGCAAACUGAGUCUCUCUCCCAACCUCACGAGGCCGAGCUCGCCAUCUCGAUCGCUGUCGCCCCAUGCUCAAGAAUGCCGGUUCGACUCCGGCAGUCGCCGCCA
RNAcentral lists this transfer RNA (155 nucleotides) under Kofleriaceae bacterium. RNAcentral's name for it is "tRNA-Ser". Lineage: Bacteria; Pseudomonadati; Myxococcota; Haliangiales; Kofleriaceae. The record is from RNAcentral.